This 301-nucleotide ribosomal RNA is filed under the name uncultured bacterium. RNAcentral's name for it is "partial 16S ribosomal RNA". It matches the Rfam family "Bacterial small subunit ribosomal RNA", at positions 509 to 807 of the family's 1533-position model. The record is from RNAcentral.
CAGCCGCCGCGGUAAUACGAAGGGUGCAAGCGUUAAUCGGAAUUACUGGGCGUAAAGCGUGCGUAGGCGGUUUGUUAAGUCUGCUGUGAAAUCCCCGGGCUCAACCUGGGAAUGGCAGUGGAUACUGGCAAGCUAGAGUGUGUCAGAGGAUGGUGGAAUUCCCGGUGUAGCGGUGAAAUGCGUAGAGAUCGGGAGGAACAUCAGUGGCGAAGGCGGCCAUCUGGGACAACACUGACGCUGAGGCACGAAAGCGUGGGGAGCAAACAGGAUUAGAUACCCCCGUAGUCCCUGUCUCUUAUAC